RNAcentral lists this non-coding RNA (414 nucleotides) under Glossina austeni. Its description in RNAcentral is "eukaryotic large subunit ribosomal RNA". It matches the Rfam family "Eukaryotic large subunit ribosomal RNA", at positions 1489 to 1888 of the family's 3401-position model. Lineage: Eukaryota; Metazoa; Arthropoda; Insecta; Diptera; Glossinidae. The record is from RNAcentral.
GACUGAAGCCGAGCAGCCAGGGAACAAAUCGUUAACACAAAAUAAAUCAUCUUUACGUGGCGAUAAAAUAAAAUAUCACCACAUGGAAAUUGUAAAUAACAAAAUUUAUUACAUGGCGAUCCCCUACACACCGACAAAAUUUAUUACAGUUCAUUAAAUGUAGGCCUUGUGCUCAUCCUGGCGACAGAAACGACCAUAAAGAAGCCGUCGAGAGAUAUCGGAAGAGUUUUCUUUUCUGUUUUAUAGUCGUACUACCAUGGAAGUCUUUCGAAGAGAGAUAUGGUAGAUGGGUUAGAAGAGCAUGACAUUUACUGUUGUGUCGAUAUUUUCCCCUCGCAUCUCGAAAAUCUAUGGUGGGGUCCACAGGCCGUACCAAUAUCUGCAGCUGAUCUCUAAGGUGAAGAGUCUCUAGUC